RNAcentral lists this ribosomal RNA (415 nucleotides) under bacterium Ellin7521. Its description in RNAcentral is "bacterial SSU rRNA". It matches the Rfam family "Bacterial small subunit ribosomal RNA", at positions 29 to 490 of the family's 1533-position model. The record is from RNAcentral.
AACGAACGCUGGCGGCAUGCCUAACACAUGCAAGUCGAACGAGACCUUCGGGUCUAGUGGCGCACGGGUGCGUAACGCGUGGGAAUCUGCCCUCUGGUACGGAAUAACUCAGGGAAACUUGAGCUAAUACCGUAUAAUGACUUCGGUCCAAAGAUUUAUCGCCUGAGGAUGAGCCCGCGUAGGAUUAGCUUGUUGGUGAGGUAAAGGCUCACCAAGGCGACGAUCCUUAGCUGGUCUGAGAGGAUGAUCAGCCACACUGGGACUGAGACACGGCCCAGACUCCUACGGGAGGCAGCAGUGGGGAAUAUUGGACAAUGGGCGAAAGCCUGAUCCAGCAAUGCCGCGUGAGUGAUGAAGGCCUUAGGGUUGUAAAGCUCUUUUACCCGGGAUGAUAAUAACAUACCGGGAGAAUAAG